RNAcentral lists this ribosomal RNA (119 nucleotides) under Volvox carteri f. nagariensis. Lineage: Eukaryota; Viridiplantae; Chlorophyta; Chlorophyceae; Chlamydomonadales; Volvocaceae. The record is from RNAcentral.
UGGAUCGUGCAUUCCAUGUUGAACACUGCCCAUCCCAUCAGCACUGGGCACAUAAGCAACAUUGGGCCAGAUCAGUAGUACGAUGGGGGACCACGUGCGAACCCCUGGUGACGAUCUAU